Molecule: unclassified non-coding RNA, 296 nt
Filed under: plant metagenome
Description: partial contains small subunit ribosomal RNA, internal transcribed spacer 1, and 5.8S ribosomal RNA
Rfam family: Eukaryotic small subunit ribosomal RNA (bases 1-55)
Source: RNAcentral
GGAAGUAAAAGUCCGUAACAAGGUUUCCGUAGGUGAACCUGCGGAAGGAUCAUUAAUGAAAUGAAUGUCGAAAAGGGUUGUAGCUGGCCUCUUGAGGCAUGUGCACACCUUGAUCGCACAUCCACAUCUCACACCUGUGCACAACCUGUAGCUUGGGAUGAUUACAAUGCUGGGAACAGUGUUGAAAGCCCUUGCCAUGAAAUCUUACACACACAUAUUAAAAGUUAUAGAAUGUUAUAUAGCGUAUAACAGCGCAAAUAAAUAUACAACUUUCAGCAACGGAUCUCUUGGCUCUC